UACAGAGGGUGCAAGCGUUAAUCGGAAUUACUGGGCGUAAAGCGCGCGCAGGCGGUCUUCCAAGUCAGUGGUGAAAGCCUGGAGCUCAACUCCAGAACUGCCAUUGAAACUGUUAGACUUGAGUACGAGAGAGGUGAGUGGAAUUCCCAGUGUAGAGGUGAAAUUCGUAGAUAUUGGGAAGAACACCAGUGGCGAAGGCGGCUCACUGGCUCGUAACUGACGCUCAGGCGCGACAGCGUGGGGAUCAAACAGG
Molecule: ribosomal RNA, 253 nt
Filed under: uncultured bacterium
Lineage: Bacteria
Description: partial 16S ribosomal RNA
Rfam family: Bacterial small subunit ribosomal RNA
Source: RNAcentral